GAUGAACGCUGGCGGCGUGCCUAAUACAUGCAAGUCGAGCGAACGGACGAGAAGCUUGCUUCUCUGAUGUUAGCGGCGGACGGGUGAGUAACACGUGGAUAACCUACCUAUAAGACUGGGAUAACUUCGGGAAACCGGAGCUAAUACCGGAUAAUAUUUUGAACCGCAUGGUUCAAAAGUGAAAGACGGUCUUGCUGUCACUUAUAGAUGGAUCCGCGCUGCAUUAGCUAGCUGGUAAGAUAACGGCUUACCAAGGCAACGAUGCAUAGCCGACCUGAGAGGGUGAUCGGCCACACUGGAACUGAGACACGGUCCAGACUCCUACGGGAGGCAGCAGUAGGGAAUCUUCCGCAAUGGGCGAAAGCCUGACGGAGCAACGCCGCGUGAGUGAUGAAGGUCUUCGGAUCGUAAAACUCUGUUAUUAGGGAAGAACAUAUGUGUAAGUAACUGUGCACAUCUUGACGGUACCUAAUCAGAAAGCCACGGCUAACUACGUG
RNAcentral lists this ribosomal RNA (497 nucleotides) under uncultured bacterium. RNAcentral's name for it is "partial 16S ribosomal RNA". It matches the Rfam family "Bacterial small subunit ribosomal RNA", at positions 28 to 507 of the family's 1533-position model. The record is from RNAcentral.